AUGCAGGGUCGGUGUGCGCCACUCCCAGGGGCAGGCACCGUGUCCUGCAGCCCAGGGGAGGCUGCUCCGUGCCUUUUGCUUGUAACCUAAGAGUUUCCCGGAAGAAACAAUGAACGUGGCCGCCAUGCGCCAGGGCAGGGCCGUCCCCUGCUCUCAAGGGGCGGGUGGGAGGUGAUAACGUCUCAGCAGGUUCAUUCCAGCACUCAAGUCAGUGUUGCCCAACCCUGGGGUUGCAGCCGGCAUGGACCAGAGUGAGGGGCUGCUGCCCGCCUGGGAGGGGGAGGCCAGGGCCUCCCACGCACACCGUCCACGGAGAUGACCCUCAGCACUGCCCACAGGAAGGCUGCCCUCCAUGGAGACACACUCUGUGAGCUGGAGCAUCCACUGGCUGGGAACCCCGCGGAGCAUGUGACCAUGGACGGGCCCUCCGGGGACAAACCCAGACCCAGCCGAGGGCGGAUCCUGCGCAGCGCAGCCAGGACAAAGCAAGCAGCAGCCACCUGCUCCGGCCCCGAUGUCCUGCCUUCUCACCCCGGCCAGGGAGACGCACUGGGACGCUGCCACCGCCUCCAGCUCUCACCAGGAAGGAGCCCCCUGCUCUGCUAACUCUCACGCUUGGGAGUUUCUCAGGCCCAGACCCUCAGAUUUCUUCUUUCAAACCUCGUGGUUUUCUCACAAAAGCUGUGGGCAAGAGCCGAGGAGGGCUCCGUGUGAAUGGACGGGGCUCAGUCUCUGCAGGAAACAGGAAGCCGGGCUCUUCGGAAAGGGAACAGCCGCCUGCUCUUGGAU
This 789-nucleotide long non-coding RNA is filed under the name Oryctolagus cuniculus (rabbit). RNAcentral describes it as "lncRNA (ENSOCUG00000037804.1)". The record is from RNAcentral. Lineage: Eukaryota; Metazoa; Chordata; Mammalia; Lagomorpha; Leporidae.